This 1019-nucleotide ribosomal RNA is filed under the name Triticum dicoccoides. Its description in RNAcentral is "rRNA SSU_rRNA_eukarya". It matches the Rfam family "Bacterial small subunit ribosomal RNA", at positions 875 to 1520 of the family's 1533-position model. Lineage: Eukaryota; Viridiplantae; Streptophyta; Magnoliopsida; Poales; Poaceae. The record is from RNAcentral.
GGGGAGUACGGUCGCAAGACCGAAACUCAAAGGAAUUGACGGGGGCCUGCACAAGCGGUGGAGCAUGUGGUUUAAUUCGAUACAAUGCACAAAACCUUACCAGCCCUUGACAUAUGAACAACAAAACCUGUCCUUAACAGGAUGGUACUGACUUUCAUACAGGUGCUGCAUGGCUGUCAUCAGCUCGUGUCGUGAGAUGUUUGGUCAAGUCCUAUAACGAGCGAAACCCUCGUUUUGUGUUGCUGAGACAUGCGCCUAAGGAGAAAUUGCCACCGAGUGACGUGCCAGCGCUACUACUUGAUUGAGUGCCAGCACGUAGCUGUGCUUUCAGCAAGAAUUUCACCAUUGGGAGCCAGUGCCUUUCGAAGCACUUUCACGUGUGAACCGAAGUCGUCUUGCCCAAGACCCACGGAGACCUACCUAUAGUGACGUCAAAGUACAAGUGAACAUGGAGGUUUGGUUGAAAUUGGUUACGACGACGUCGAGUUGGCGGCGGAGGAAGACUCGGCAUGAAGGCCAGAAAAUGGUGUGGAACGUAGUGGUAAUAGUACGCGCCCCGCUCCGAAACAAAGAAAAAGGUGCGUGCCGCACUCACGAGGGACUGCCAGUGAGAUACUGGAGGAAGGUGGGGAUGACGUCAAGUCCGCAUGGCCCUUAUGGGCUGGGCCACACACGUGCUACAAUGGCAAUGACAAUGGGAAGCAAGGCUGUAAGGCGGAGCAAAUCCGGAAAGAUUGCCUCAGUUCGGAUUGUUCUCUGCAACUCGGGAACAUGAAGUCGAAAUCGCUAGUAAUUGCGGAUCAGCAUGCCGCGGUGAAUAUGUACCCGGGCCCUGUACACACCGCCCGUCACACCCUGGGAAUUGGUUUCGCCCGAAGCAUCGGACCAAUGAUCUCCCAUGACUUCUGUGUACCACUAGUGCCACAAAGGCCUUUGGUGGUCUUAUUGGCGCAUACCACGAUGGGUUCUUCGACUGGGGUGAAGUCGUAACAAGGUAGCCGUAGGGGAACCUGUGGCUG